CCCUGUGGCUCAGUUGGUAGAGCAUGGUGUUUGCAACGCUAGCAUGGUGUGUGUAAUGCCAGGGUUGUGGGUUCGAUUCCCACAGGGG
This 88-nucleotide transfer RNA is filed under the name Salmo salar (Atlantic salmon). It matches the Rfam family "tRNA". Rfam says of the family: Transfer RNA (tRNA) molecules are approximately 80 nucleotides in length. Their secondary structure includes four short double-helical elements and three loops (D, anti-codon, and T loops). Further hydrogen bonds mediate the characteristic L-shaped molecular structure. tRNAs have two regions of fundamental functional importance: the anti-codon, which is responsible for specific mRNA codon recognition, and the 3' end, to which the tRNAs corresponding amino acid is attached (by aminoacyl-tRNA synthetases). tRNAs cope with the degeneracy of the genetic code in two manners: having more than one tRNA (with a specific anti-codon) for a particular amino acid; and 'wobble' base-pairing, i.e. permitting non-standard base-pairing at the 3rd anti-codon position. The record is from Rfam by way of RNAcentral. Lineage: Eukaryota; Metazoa; Chordata; Actinopteri; Salmoniformes; Salmonidae.